Cephus cinctus (wheat stem sawfly) is the source of this 1203-nucleotide long non-coding RNA. RefSeq lists it as uncharacterized. The transcript has 5 exons. The record is from RefSeq and is a predicted model, not a curated record. NCBI's taxonomy places the organism in Eukaryota, Metazoa, Arthropoda, Insecta, Hymenoptera, Cephidae.
UGCAGUAUAGUAUUAAAAUUUUUUUUUUUAAAUUCUUCCUUUACCUCAAAGCCUUUGUUUUCAGAUAUCCUAUAUGGUAUUCAUUGAGUCUUGUUCUCAGGGAUACUUAAACGCAUAGACUCUGUAUAUACCUUGAGUGACUUUGAAGUACAGAGAGACCUCCUCGACGAAGUCUAACGUCGCUGUUCCUUCAGGACUCACGUACGUUAAGUGAAAUGAGGAUCCAUAUAUGUAACCAUACAUAUAUUCCAUCCACUCCACGUUCCGUCGUUCCUGGACUUUCUUGGGAUUGAGCAUGCUGACGGUUGGGAACGUUCGAAUUAACUCGAACGAAGUAUAGACGUCUGGCAGCCCGAAUUGCUAGAGAAUUCGGAUUGCGAUUUCGCCAGAGCCAGCAGCCAGACAGACAGGGAAACACGUAAUGGGUCAGACACGUUCCAAAGCCUCAGGAUGAAAUCUAAUACCAACUUCGGACCUUCGUCGAGGUGCAAGUAUACUUAUACGAAAGCUUUGAACAUCUCGUACCCACGUUGAAAUUUAUCUGGGAAAUUAUGCAACCGGAAGCUCGGAUGCAGAUAAGACCGUACGUGAUUUCUGCCGUACUCCCUCGCCAUUUAGCCCCUUUAGUUUCGAACUGGGUUAAUCGCUCUUGACAAUACCUUGGAUGUCUGCGGUUUCCAUUAACGAGCUACUUCUGUUUACAUUCUUAACGAUUCAGCCUUUUACGUUACCUGGACCAUUUUACGUGUCUAUAGACACGCGCACAUACAGCCGCUACCAAAUUCUAGACCCAGUUGCCUAAGUUUCAUUAGCCGCAACUGGCAGCUGGCCAAUGGCAUUUCGCCGUGUUCCUCGAACAAUUGAACCACAAAGAACGUCCAAUCUUCCGCGAGCGGGAAGCAGAUGGGAAGAAGCUUUCGCGUUGAAUCGAAGGGACGUGAGUGGAAAAAGAAGUUUGAAUUUUCCAAAGGAUAUAAGAUAGCGGGGUUAAGGGUUAUCCGUGAUACCGGCGUCUGUGCUAAGGAAGCAGAUAAAAAAAGAGAAAGUUAACUUUCUUUUUGUUAAACAAGAAAGAGGUAUUAUGCAAAACACAUAUAACUUUAAUAUCCCUCUACGGUCGUUUCAGACCCACACUCCCCUCUCCUUGCUACCUGUCGUUAUCCCAUAUCGAUCCUAAAAAUAUCAUACUCCCUCUCUCUCUCU